RNAcentral lists this ribosomal RNA (388 nucleotides) under uncultured eukaryote. RNAcentral describes it as "SSU rRNA". It matches the Rfam family "Eukaryotic small subunit ribosomal RNA", at positions 567 to 955 of the family's 1831-position model. The record is from RNAcentral.
CCAGCAGCCGCGGUAAUUCCAGCUCCAAUAGCGUAUAUUAAAGUUGUUGCAGUUAAAAAGCUCGUAGUUGAACUUGUGGCGUACACAAGGCUGCUGUCCCUUAUGGGUUUAUAGUGUUGCCUGUUGUUGCCAUCUUUGGGUAAAACCUGUGUGGCAUUAGGUUGUCGUGCAGGGGAUGUUCAUCGUUUACUGUGAAAAAAUUAGAGUGUUCAAAGCAGGCUUAUGCCAUUGAAUAUGUUAGCAUGGAAUAAUUAUAUAGGACUUUGGUGCUAUUUUGUUGGUUUGUGUGCCAAGGUAAUGAUUAACAGGGUCAACUGGGGAUAUUUGUAUUCCACUGUCAGAGGUGAAAUUCUUGGAUUUUUGGAAGACAAACUACUGCGAAAGCAUU